RNAcentral lists this ribosomal RNA (500 nucleotides) under uncultured bacterium. Its description in RNAcentral is "bacterial SSU rRNA". It matches the Rfam family "Bacterial small subunit ribosomal RNA", at positions 199 to 680 of the family's 1533-position model. The record is from RNAcentral.
GGGGAAAGAGGGGGACCUUCGGGCCUCUCGCGAUUGGAUGAGCCUAUGCCGGAUUAGCUAGUUGGCGGGGUAAGAGCCCACCAAGGCGACGAUCCGUAGCUGGUCUGAGAGGAUGAUCAGCCACACUGGAACUGAGACACGGUCCAGACUCCUACGGGAGGCAGCAGUGGGGAAUAUUGGACAAUGGGCGCAAGCCUGAUCCAGCAAUGCCGCGUGUGUGAAGAAGGCCUUCGGGUUGUAAAGCACUUUUGUUUGGGAAGAAAUCCGGUUGGUUAAUACCUGAUCGGGAUGACGGUACCAAAAGAAUAAGCACCGGCUAACUUCGUGCCAGCAGCCGCGGUAAUACGAAGGGUGCAAGCGUUAAUCGGAAUUACUGGGCGUAAAGCGUGCGUAGGUGGUUUGUUAAGUCAGAUGUGAAAGCCCUGGGCUCAACCUGGGAACUGCAUUUGAUACUGGCAGGCUAGAGUGCGGUAGAGGGUGGUGGAAUUCCCGGUGUAGCG